GAUGAACGCUGGCGGCGUGCCUAAUACAUGCAAGUCGAGCGAACAGACGAGGAGCUUGCUCCUCUGACGUUAGCGGCGGACGGGUGAGUAACACGUGGAUAACCUACCUAUAAGACUGGGAUAACUGCGGGAAACCGGAGCUAAUACCGGAUAAUAUAUUGAACCGCAUGGUUCAAUAGUGAAAGACGGUUUUGCUGUCACUUAUAGAUGGAUCCGCGCCGCAUUAGCUAGUUGGUAAGGUAACGGCUUACCAAGGCAACGAUGCGUAGCCGACCUGAGAGGGUGAUCGGCCACCCUGGAACUGAGACACGGUCCAGACUACUAAGGGACGCCGCAGUAGGGAAUGUUACGCAAUGGGCGAAAGCCUGACGGAGCAACGCCGCGUGAGUGAUGACGGUCUUCGGAUCGUAAAACUCUGUUAUUAGGGAAGAACAAAUGUGUAAGUAACUAUGCACGUCUUGACGGUACCUAAUCAGAAAGCCCCGGCUAACUACGUG
RNAcentral lists this ribosomal RNA (497 nucleotides) under uncultured bacterium. RNAcentral describes it as "partial 16S ribosomal RNA". It matches the Rfam family "Bacterial small subunit ribosomal RNA", at positions 28 to 507 of the family's 1533-position model. The record is from RNAcentral.